GAAAGCUGCACUGUCGGCUUCCCUGCUUUCGAGGUUUUGGGACUCAGACUGGCUUCCUUGUUCCUUACCUUGUAGAUGGCAUAUUUUGAGAGUUCACCUUGUGAUCGUGGUUCUUGUUAGGAAUUGCUGGUCCCCCUAAAUCUUAACAAUGACAUUUCUGUACCUAUCUACAUGAUCGCCUGCAGUUUUUUCCUUCUGAUUUGUUUGCACAAAGAAUUAUGCAGGAUUAAAAACUUCAAUGAACAAUAUCUCCCUUCUGUUUUGGCUUUAGAAAUCAGGUUGUUAUUGGUGGAACUGUACCCCUCCCACACCCCCAAUUCACAUGGUGAUGUUCUAACCCGCAGUACCUCACAAUGUGACCUUAUUUGGAGAUAGGCAUUUUUUAGAGGUAAUCAAGUAAAAAUGAGGUCAUUAGGAAGGCCUAACCCAAGAUGACAGUGUCCUCUAUGAGAAGGAGGAAUUUGGACAUAGACACACACAAGGCGAACAUCAUGUGAAGAUGAAGCCAGAGACCAGGAUGCUGCUUCAACAUGCCGAAGAACACCAGAGACUUCCAGAAAACCACUAGGAAUUCAGUGAAAGGGAUGAAACAGCUGCUCCCUCACAGCCCCUCAAAGGAACCAUCCCUGCCAACAUGUAGAUCUCAGACUUCCAGCUUCCAGAGCUGUUGGAUGAUAAAUGUGCGUUACUUAAGCCACUCAGUUUGUGGUACUUUGUUACGGCAGCCUAAGAAACUAAUACUCAGGUUUUUAUAAUGUCAGGUUGAGCCAUCCUCCACAUCUACUUUCUCUGGCAGUGACCAUUUCUGAUCAGGGACUGAAUAGAAGAUUCUAGUUAUUUAAUUACAAACAAAAUAAUUGAGAGAAGAAUGCAGUCAAGAUAAUUCCAAGAACAGCCCAUGACCUGGAGCCCAGUGCCCAGCUUCCACAGCAGUGAUGUGUUCACAUCAGGCCAGAUUCUUCCAUAAAAAGUUCACAUUUCUAUAA
RNAcentral lists this long non-coding RNA (986 nucleotides) under Homo sapiens (human). RNAcentral's name for it is "HSALNT0300875". The record is from RNAcentral. Lineage: Eukaryota; Metazoa; Chordata; Mammalia; Primates; Hominidae.